GAUCCUGGCUCAGGACGAACGCUGGCGGCGUGCCUAAUACAUGCAAGUAGAACGCUGAAGGAGGAGCUUACUUCUCCGGAUGAGUUGCGAACGGGUGAGUAACGCGUAGGUAACCUGCCUGGUAGCGGGGGAUAACUAUUGGAAACGAUAGCUAAUACCGCAUAACAGUAGAUAUUGCAUGAUAUCUGCUUGAAAGGUGCAAUUGCAUCACUACCAGAUGGACCUGCGUUG
RNAcentral lists this ribosomal RNA (231 nucleotides) under uncultured bacterium. RNAcentral describes it as "partial 16S ribosomal RNA". It matches the Rfam family "Bacterial small subunit ribosomal RNA", at positions 15 to 238 of the family's 1533-position model. The record is from RNAcentral.